Molecule: ribosomal RNA, 115 nt
Organism: Danio rerio (zebrafish)
Lineage: Eukaryota; Metazoa; Chordata; Actinopteri; Cypriniformes; Danionidae
Source: Ensembl
GCCUGCAGCUAGCUGUCUGCCACUCUCACAUGGUCGCCAACUGAAGCUAAGCAGGGCUGUGCCUGGUCAAUACCUGGAUGGAAGACUACAUGGUAAAGCUAGGUUGCUGCCGGAA